CUCAUGCAAAAGUUAGAUGAUUAAUACUCAAGCAUAGCAACCAGCCAAUAUAUUGUUUAUGUUUGGAUAUACAUUAGUGCGGUGAAAAUAGUUUUUUAAGAUAAAAAACUGUGAUUGAGAUUGGAGAAAACACUAACGGAACGAGCUUACCUGAUGAACCUGGUCAAAAGGAUCGAGAUGACUACAAGAUGGUGAUUUGCUGAAUGCCAAGAAUUUUCAUCCUAAACCUGUUGUUGGACCGAAGGAGUCGUUAACUUUUGAGGAAUUACCAUGAAUAUGGAGGAGCUGCGGCAUGAAAGUGUGAGAGAAUUGUACAAUUAGUACGACCAUUUUAUGAAACAUUCGGAUGAGAUUUUGGAGCCGGUCGGACUGCUCCAAAAACAUCACCCACUGGCCGUAGUGGAAUUGCGACCGAUAUAGUCUGAGCUGCAGCUGCCCUCAAGAGGAACCUUCAAGGCUUCCAGUUGCUUCUAGCGUUAAGAAGCAAAAAAAUAUAAUUGUUUCAGUCUGUCGGAAUUUCCACGUUAAAAAUAUUCCCACGUCGAGGAGCAGCUGACUAGUGCUACUAUUACUGAUCAUUCAGCUAAGGCUAUGGAAAGGAAUAAUGAAAUGUUACCAAGAGGAUCCUUCAUGGGUCCAUUUCUGGUGCUGCCCCGGUUCUUGAUUAGAUUCCCUUUCCGGUGACAAUCGCGGGGGGAACUUCUAUUACUGCUGACAACUUCAAUAAAUUUUGUUAACAUAUUUUAAUUUGAUUUUUGCCCUCAAAAAUUUGUGCCGUGAAUGAUAGCAACAAACCACUCAAGUAACAAACCAACAACUUUUCAAUUGAGGAGAUGGGAAUAUCAGAUUCAAUCAUAUUACAAAAUACUGUUUUGUGUUGGAAUAGAUUUGAAUAAAAUUCAGUUUAUCGAUUUGUAAAAUA
Molecule: long non-coding RNA, 922 nt
Organism: Uranotaenia lowii
Lineage: Eukaryota; Metazoa; Arthropoda; Insecta; Diptera; Culicidae
Exons: 2
Source: RefSeq, a predicted model, not a curated record